UCUGGUGACGAUGGCGAAGUGGACACACCUGUAACCAUACCGAACACAGAAGUUAAGCACUUCAGCGCCGAAUGUAGUACUAACCGUGCGAGACUAGGUCGUUGCCAGGC
Molecule: ribosomal RNA, 110 nt
Filed under: Candidatus Izemoplasmatales bacterium
Lineage: Bacteria; Bacillati; Mycoplasmatota; Mollicutes; Candidatus Izemoplasmatales
Source: RNAcentral